This 207-nucleotide ribosomal RNA is filed under the name uncultured bacterium. RNAcentral's name for it is "partial 16S ribosomal RNA". It matches the Rfam family "Bacterial small subunit ribosomal RNA", at positions 568 to 774 of the family's 1533-position model. The record is from RNAcentral.
UGCGUAGGCGGCGAUGCAAGUCAGAAGUGGAAGUCCUGUUUUCAAGGCAGGAAUUGCUUUUGAAACUGCAUGGCUUGAGUGCAGGAGAGGUUAUCGGAAUUCCCGGUGUAGCGGUGAAAUGCGUAGAGAUCGGGAGGAACACCAGUGGCGAAGGCGGGUAACUGGACUGCAACUGACGCUGAGGCACGAAAGUGUGGGGAGCAAACA